AAUGAACGCUGGCGGCGUGCCUAACACAUGCAAGUCGGAUGUGCCCGCAAGGGUGCAUGGCAGACGGGUGAGUAACGCGUGGGGAAUCUACCUUUUAGUGGGGAAUAACGCUCCGAAAGGAGUGGUAAUACCGCAUGUGACCAUCGGCUGGGAUGCUGAUGGUGAAAACCCCUGGGGACCUUCGGGCCAGGGGCUAAAAGAAGGAUCCCUGCGUCUGAUUAGCUAGUUGGUGAGGUAACGGCCCACCAAGGCGACGAUCAGUAGCCGGCCUGAGAGGGUGAUCGGCCACACUGGAACUGAGACACGGUCCAGACUCCUACGGGAGGCAGCAGUGGGGAAUUUUGCGCAAUGGGGGAAACCCCGUGACGCAGCAACGCCGCGUGGGUGAUGAAGGUCUUCGGAUUGUAAAACCCUGUCGCCAGGGACGAAGGGGCGAGGUGAAUAGCCUUGUUCUUUGACGGUACCUGGAAAGGAAGCCCCGG
Molecule: ribosomal RNA, 482 nt
Filed under: uncultured bacterium
Lineage: Bacteria
Description: bacterial SSU rRNA
Rfam family: Bacterial small subunit ribosomal RNA
Source: RNAcentral